GUCAGAUUCCAACCCAGAGGAAGCACACAGCCCACAUUUCCUGCUCUCCAAGUGCCGGGCGCCUCUCUCCUCCUGAUGAGUCACCACCGCCUAGCCAGUGGCACUCCAGUCCCCGCUCACCUUCCCACGUCCCCAGGGGACUGGCACACACAAAGGCUGUGGCCGUGUCCUCCUGUGGCGUGGGGGCUGGAGGUGUGGCUUCCCCCGGGGCCUGCUCGGUGCCUGCCUCUGCAGAGGACCUUUGCAGCAGGCACGUAUUCAAGACGCAGCUGGGGACGAUGCCCUGCCGCUCCGGGCACAGCCAGCAGCCCCCCCAGACGCAGGACGCGCAGGACACAUUGAACUGAGUUUCCACCGCUCUGCUCUGUGCUUUCCAGAGAGCUCGCACAUCACAUCCACGACGGGACCAUCAGUGAGCACGGCCACCAGGGGAUCACGGGCAUCCCAAUACCCAAAGGCCAGGCUGGCUUCUCGCCACCCUUAGCUCAGGGCCUCUGGUGACUUUCGGGGGCAAUGGAGUCCUCGGUCUCUUCCGCUGAUGACCAGAGACAGAGCAGAGAAGCCCCGCCGGGUGGAUUUGACGUGGCUGUUGCCUGGGCCCUGACCUCUCAAAAGACCCUUCAAGGUUCUGUGGGUCUCCUCUGGGUGAACCCCUUCUUUGGCCAGGUUGCCUUUCCAUAUGGCCGAGAAGGACAAGGUGCCACCCUGGACUUUGCAGCUGCCUUAAUCCAAGAACACGUUAAGUGUCUGGCUCGUGGUCAGAAGGCCUGGGUCCAGGUCCUGAUGCAGAUGACAGCCACCUCUGGGGACUUCUGCUUCCUUAUCAAAGACAAAUGGAGCCGGUCCAUCGAGGCUCCAAGGAGGAAGUACCCCACACCCAGCACCUGUACUUUGUCUCCCAGCCCCUCUUCUGUCCUUGACAACAACUUCCAGCCAAGCCCUCAGUGCCCCCCUGCCGCCUGACCAGGAUUCCCCGAGACCCCCCCAGCCCAGAUAGAGCAUCAUGUUUGGAAACUUCCUAGUCACCCCAUCCAUCGUCUCUGACACCUGCACUGAGUCCCACCCUGAGAAAGUGAUCUGGUGGCUACUUUACACUAAGGUGUGAAUGGCUGCUGCCAGCGGUUAGAGUUACAGAGUGCUGCGGUUGUUAAAUGAGUCCACCCUCCCCAGUUACAGCUGAGGAAACUGGGUCCCGAAUACAAUCGCCGUUGUCCCAAGUCACACGACUGUCUGAAGCUGAACUCAGUCAAAAAAAUCUCUCCUCGCCCCCACGGGAACCACUUCAGCAAGGUUUUCCUGCCUGUGUAAUACAUCCUCCAACCGAGUCUCUCUUGUUUGAGGAGAGGACAAAGCCCUCUCAAGAAUGCACUUUGGAUGGGACCUCCCAGGGUCAGGGAGGGCCACAGGAACCCUGUGGGGGGGUUCCCCUCUGAGUCCCCCACUCCACCUUGAGAUAAACUCUCGGGGGUUCGCAACUUUUUCCUAACCUGCCACUUAAGCGCAAGAUGGGGAGCUGCUCCUUUCUCACCAAAUGACAGACAGACAGACAUCUCCACCCCGCCACCAGCAGCAGCAGCAGCCUCCAGGUCGGGACGGAAACCGGCUUGGAACCCAACAUCCCGGUUCCUGACGCCAGCCAAAAAAGUCACCAUGCAGAGCCCAGGAAGACCGGAGGGUCCCCAAGAGCUGACAGCUGCAGAGCCCCUCGUGGGAAUGACGAGAAUGUGGAGCUCGGGGCCCGAGCCCUCCCCUCUGCACGCAUGUGGUCCACACGUGUCUGCAGUGGGCUCUGCCCACGGCUGUUGAGCAAACACAUCUUAAGAGCUCACUUUUUUUUUUAAACUGGAAACCGUCAUUAAUAACCUGAUUUUUAUCUUUAUAGAGCUUUGGGCCCAAAGGUAUCAGGCUUCCCUAUUCUCACAUUUCAGUCAAGCGCCUGACAUGAUGUUUAAUCUUCACACAUCAAAGGCAAGGCCUCCGCUACACCGGCUGCUGCUGUCACCAGCGACCAGCUCCAUCUGCGCUCAGGGGGGGACUGCGGCUCCCAGAAGCUCCCAGACGGGGAGUCCACCCUCUUCCCACCUCCAGGCUCCAAGACACUUCAAAGCCGUUUCCCAAACAACAACAAUAAUAAUUAAAUAGAGGAAUAAGAAGUCGGGGGCAGGAGAACAAAGGUAAAGCUGUUUUGUUUUCUCAAAUGUUUCCCUUGAUUUAAAUUUGGGGAGUCAUAGCCCAUGCACCUUGGAAUGUCCACCUAUGAAAGUAGCCAGGCACUCAGCUCUCCUAAUAAAAGUUGAC
RNAcentral lists this long non-coding RNA (2298 nucleotides) under Marmota monax (woodchuck). The record is from RNAcentral. Lineage: Eukaryota; Metazoa; Chordata; Mammalia; Rodentia; Sciuridae.